CGUAUACCCACGUUAACUCCAACCCAACAAUCAUCCGGCGGCCUAAGCUCAUAUGACGCUUCUCUUCAAGUGGCUGCUCGAGCCCUGGUGAUGUCUGUCUGAACAUUUUGGGGCUUGGGCGGGCUGAGAGUGGGUCAAGAAGAUAAUGGUGUUCUUCUUCUGCGCAAAAAUGGCUGGAUCGGUGAACAAGGUAGAUGACCUCAACUCGGCCCAACACCACACGCGCGACUUCCAUGUGUUUCACUAAAGAUGGACUGGAUCAAUCCUUUUCGAUGAAGAGAACAUCUAUGCUUUAGCGAGUGAUUCACCGGAUCCGUGUGUAAUCUAGCUAAGAGCAUGAUGAUCCUGCUACGCCCCCGCUGGUGUGCUCUGCUCAAGAUGGAAUUCUUCUCCUGCCCUUCCUUCCUUCAGUCAUGCAGCACGCCUACUACACUGGUUGUGCUACUAGGAAAUAUACAAAGACAACUACAGCUCGCAUGGACGGGCCACUGUUUGCUUUUGAACGAAAUGUACUCAUCUAUAGUAUACGUUUUUUUUUAAGAAGCGUAGGAGAACUGCCGUUUUCUUUAAUAGGAAGAAGAUUGCAGAAGAGCGCCAUCAUCUAUAGUAUAAGUUGCAGUUGGCAAACAAGCAACUACUACCUUGCUUAUGUGUCUCGGGGUUGAAGAAUUUCCAAACGAUUUUUUAACCUA
Non-coding RNA from Triticum urartu, 692 nucleotides. NCBI's taxonomy places the organism in Eukaryota, Viridiplantae, Streptophyta, Magnoliopsida, Poales, Poaceae. The record is from RefSeq and is a predicted model, not a curated record.